UGGGAAUUUUGGACAAUGGGCGAAAGCCUGAUCCAGCAAUGCCGCGUGUGUGAAGAAGGCCUUCGGGCUGUAAAGCACUUUUGUCCGGAAAGAAAUCCUUGGCUCUAAUACAGUCGGGGGAUGACGGUACCGGAAGAAUAAGCACCGGCUAACUACGUGCCAGCAGCCGCGGUAAUACGUAGGGUGCAAGCGUUAAUCGGAAUUACUGGGCGUAAAGCGUGCGCAGGCGGUUUGCUAAGACCGAUGUGAAAUCCCCGGGCUCAACCUGGGAACUGCAUUGGUGGCUGGCAGGCUAGAGUAUGGCAGAGGGGGGUAGAAUUCCACGUGUAGCAGUGAAAUGCGUAGAGAUGUGGAGGAAUACCGAUGGCGAAGGCAGCCCCCUGGGCCAAUACUGACGCUCAUGCACGAAAGCGUGGGGAGCAAACAGGAUUAGAUACCCUGGUAGUCCACGCCCUAAACGAUGUCAACUAGUUGUUGGGGAUUCAUUUUCCUUAGUAACGUAGCUAACGCGUGAAGUUGACCGCCUGGGGAGUACGGUCGCAAGAUUAAAAACUCAAAGGAAUUGACGGGGUCAUAGCUGUUUCCUG
Molecule: ribosomal RNA, 587 nt
Filed under: uncultured bacterium
Lineage: Bacteria
Description: partial 16S ribosomal RNA
Rfam family: Bacterial small subunit ribosomal RNA
Source: RNAcentral